GCUAGUUACCAUCAUUGAGUCGGGGGACUCUAGCGAGACUGCCAGCGAUAAGCUGGAGGAAGGUGGGGAUGACGUCAAAUCAUCAUGCCCCUUAUGACCUGGGCUACAAACGUGAUACAAUGGCUGGAACAAAGGGAGGCGAAGGGGUGACCUGGAGCGAAACCCAAAAAUACAGUCUCAGUUCGGAUUGAAGUCUGCAACUCGACUUCAUGAAGUCGGAAUCGCUAGUAAUCGCGGAUCAGAACGCCGCGGUGAAUACGUUCUCGGGGUUU
This 272-nucleotide ribosomal RNA is filed under the name uncultured Acholeplasma sp. Its description in RNAcentral is "partial 16S ribosomal RNA". It matches the Rfam family "Bacterial small subunit ribosomal RNA", at positions 1110 to 1382 of the family's 1533-position model. Lineage: Bacteria; Bacillati; Mycoplasmatota; Mollicutes; Acholeplasmatales; Acholeplasmataceae. The record is from RNAcentral.